RNAcentral lists this transfer RNA (77 nucleotides) under Neolewinella marina. Its description in RNAcentral is "Lewinella marina tRNA-Lys". It matches the Rfam family "tRNA". Rfam says of the family: Transfer RNA (tRNA) molecules are approximately 80 nucleotides in length. Their secondary structure includes four short double-helical elements and three loops (D, anti-codon, and T loops). Lineage: Bacteria; Pseudomonadati; Bacteroidota; Saprospiria; Saprospirales; Lewinellaceae. RNAcentral also lists the same sequence under 1 other name. The record is from RNAcentral.
GAGCCCCUAGCUCAGUUGGCUAGAGCACCUCACUUUUAAUGAGGGGGUCCAGGGUUCGAGCCCCUGGGGGCUCACUA